GUCUUUGCUUCAUCAAGAACUCAACAGUAAUUCCCAAGAGAGGGGGGAGAGGUGUGGCUAAUUCUCCAGCGAAGCCCAUUCAAACAUCACCUGAGGCUGUGAGCUGGCAGACACAGGACAUCUGACCUCGGCGGCUCCAGACCAUCGGAGUACUGCAUAGACGCACCAGCAUGUCUCAGCAUCACACCCCCCCCUGUGAGUAAAUACCGAUUCACAGCAAACAAACUGCCUCCAAACAAGGGUGUGAUUUGUUAGUCAAAAAGAAAAUGUGGUAUCGAAUUUGCAUGAGAUGGCUCGACUUCAAAGAGAGGCUGCAC
Gasterosteus aculeatus aculeatus (three-spined stickleback) is the source of this 317-nucleotide long non-coding RNA. The record is from Ensembl. NCBI's taxonomy places the organism in Eukaryota, Metazoa, Chordata, Actinopteri, Perciformes, Gasterosteidae.